GUGAGGUAAUGGCUCACCAAGGCGACGACGGGUAGCCGGCCUGAGAGGGUGACCGGCCACACUGGGACUGAGACACGGCCCAGACUCCUACGGGAGGCAGCAGUGGGGAAUAUUGCACAAUGGGCGCAAGCCUGAUGCAGCGACGCCGCGUGAGGGAUGACGGCCUUCGGGUUGUAAACCUCUUUCAGUAGGGAAGAAGCGAAAGUGACGGUACCUGCAGAAGAAGCGCCGGCUAACUACGUGCCAGCAGCCGCGGUAAUACGUAGGGCGCAAGCGUUAUCCGGAAUUAUUGGGCGUAAAGAGCUCGUAGGCGGUUUGUCGCGUCUGCCGUGAAAGUCCGGGGCUCAACUCCGGAUCUGCGGUGGGUACGGGCAGACUAGAGUGAUGUAGGGGAGACUGGAAUUCCUGGUGUAGCGGUGAAAUGCGCAGAUAUCAGGAGGAACACCGAUGGCGAAGGCAGGUCUCUGGGCAUUAACUGACGCUGAGGAGCGAAAGCAUGGGGAGCGAACAGGAUUAGAUACCCUGGUAGUCCAUGCCGUAAACGUUGGGCACUAGGUGUGGGGGACAUUCCACGUUCUCCGUACCGUAGCUAACGCAUUAAGUG
This 604-nucleotide ribosomal RNA is filed under the name uncultured Actinomycetes bacterium. RNAcentral's name for it is "bacterial SSU rRNA". It matches the Rfam family "Bacterial small subunit ribosomal RNA", at positions 252 to 866 of the family's 1533-position model. Lineage: Bacteria; Bacillati; Actinomycetota; Actinomycetes. The record is from RNAcentral.